This is a long non-coding RNA of Gopherus evgoodei (Goodes thornscrub tortoise), 122 nucleotides long. RefSeq lists it as uncharacterized. Lineage: Eukaryota; Metazoa; Chordata; Testudines; Testudinidae. The transcript is spliced from 3 exons. The record is from RefSeq and is a predicted model, not a curated record.
GAAAGAGACCUUCUUAAAACGUUAAAAUGUAUUACUAGCACGAGAAACCUUAAAUUUGAGUGAAUAAAUGAAGACCCGGCACACCAUGUCUGAAAGGAUGCUGACAACUGGGAUAUAAUCUG